This 14024-nucleotide long non-coding RNA is filed under the name Vigna radiata. RNAcentral describes it as "long non-coding RNA (VRAD_LNC013743)". Lineage: Eukaryota; Viridiplantae; Streptophyta; Magnoliopsida; Fabales; Fabaceae. The record is from RNAcentral.
GGCUCAAGCUCGGUCCUGAAGGAUGUCGUGAAAAACCAAAAAGAAAAAAGAAAGAAAAGAAAAAAAAAAUCAAAACGAAGAACACAUGUUGAAUUCGUUGUCAAUAAAGUCGUCAAGGGUAUAGUACUUUCAAGAAGUAAAAGUAAGAAAAGAAAAAAAAAAGUUUUGAAAAAUACCGGUGUUGAGUCAUUUCCUGAUUCAAGGUUUUAGGGGUAACCGAUGUUCAUUUCUUGAUAAAGCAUCGGCAUUCAUAUUACUUGAACUCUCAACCUUUUCAUUUCCCCUCAAAACAAGGAUUGCCACGAAUAUAAUACUGGGGUAGUUUGCAUCGUGAUAUGUGCUCAAUGAUCAGUUGAUUGGGGAGAUAAAAAAAAUAUAAAAAGGAAAAUAAAAAGAAAAGAGAAAGAAAAGAAGAAAGAAAACGAAGUCGAUGUGUCAAUUGCUAUAGAGUUUCGUCCCAAGGUUAAGGUCGUGAGAAACUGAAGCAAGCAAGAUUCAGAAUGACGUGGGGCCGUUUUGUUUCUUUCACCCAAAUAAUAAAUGAAAUUUAUCCCAUUGUACCCCCUUUGAGCUAAAAUUCAUAAUUGUUUCAUCACCCUGGAUAAGAAUCAUUGACAUGUCAAUGUCAACCUAAAGGGUACAUCAGGGGCAUCCAAAAUCAAAGAGAAAAUUUCUGAAAAAACAUUGAAAGGAAAAGUUGCAAGAAAGUCAUAAACAAGGGCAACGGAACGAAUGAUCUAAUAUAAAAAAAAAAUAAGAACAAAGAAAGCAAAACGAAAAUGAAAAUAAAAGGAUGCCCGAAUUUUCAAAUCCCUGGAAGACCUGUUGACUUGAUACCUUGUAGAUGAUUCUUGUUAAGACAAUUUAACCAUCAAACACUUAUUUGGGCCUUCAUUAUCCAUUUCUUUCAAAACCCUUAGCCCCUAGCCACGAUACAAGCCAAUUAAAGUCCACGCCGACUGAAGACUGUUUAUCGUGAUCUUUCUCACAAACUUAACUCUAGAACAAAAUGAUGUGGGGAAUGACGCGAUCACUUGGAAAAAAAUAAUAUAAAAAAAAACAUAGAAAAAGAAAAGACAGAAAGAUGAGAAGUCUCCCCGUCAAUCGAGAAUCACCAAAUGGGGGAAAUCCUUCCUACCCAAACCCUUCCACCUCUCCAAAACGUACUUACUGUGCAAAAUUGGAGCAGUGUUGUGAGCCCAGCAUGUUAACAACACUUCCUCCCAGAUAAAAGACACACAAAUAUAAUUUUGCUCACAGAUAAUCAUUUUGCCAUCCACCUUUCAUACCCACUCCCCACACCUUCAAGCGUCCAAGCUAGUUUGAAUUGCAAAAAGCGAUAAAGGGAAUUUGAACCCCUGGUUAGGCUCUUUUCCUUCCCAUCAGGGGACUCACUAUCUCUUGACAUAAUUUUCAAUGAAUGCAUUUUGAAUGUACAUCGAGUUUGACGACAAUAUUUGAUAGAAGCAACUUCUAUCAUCAAGAAGAAAUGGCUUUCUGAUCGAGAGGUGGCAGCGGAAUUGGAUUUGCGAAUGAAAGUGGUUAAUGCACACCAGGUGUUUGUGAAAAUGUUUGGGCGAGUUUUGCAUAUGGUGUUGGUAGAAUUAUAGCUUAGGCAGCUUUCCUAAGGGGAAAUGAGCUAUAGGAUGCAAAGCUAAAGCUAGCAUAGUAUUUGAACUUGAGAGAAGUGGCUGAAUUUUGACAGCAUAACACGAAUUUAUUUCAAGUUAAGUUUACACAUGGUAGAGCUCUUCUUUUAUAGGAUGUAAGAGUUGAUGAACCGUGCAACACAAGAUAUGCAAAGCUUAUUCUAAACAUGUUGCAACUAUUAGCUAUGGUGCAAAGUAUUUUACAUGUGGAGAGCAUUUAACACGUGCUAGAAUUGAAGAAGGUGGCUUGUGCAAGUUGGCUAAGCGCAUGUUACAUCCGAAAGCCACCUUUCUUCAUGUUGCUUGCUGUCUUCAAUCCGUAAACCAUUUCAAAUCCAUCUUCCUUGGUCUCCUUUGCUCUUUCUUAGCUUGGCUAGCUUCUUGAGUUGUGUAGGCAUAGUUUCCUACUUUUAUUUGGUCACCUACAAAGCAAAGAAAAGUACUUAGUUUAAGUAGAGUCUAUCUAAGACUUAGAUAAGGAAAUAGUUUUGGAAAUCUAUAUUCUACUUCCCUUUCUUUAGUCUUAGAUUUAGUUGAUACUUCUUUGGAUGGUAAGUCCCUAAAGGGGUUGCCAUCAUUCCCUCCCUCUUUAAAAACGAUUUGUCCUCAAAUCAGGAAGAAUUAAAGAAGCACAACUUUGGUUUUUGUUGUCCGCCUGGAUAAAAGAUAUAUCUACAAAAGAUAGCAAACAUGAGUAUAAUGAAGAUGUAAGCAAAGAUAAAAAGACAAAAGAAAAGUCUUGUAUUGAAAAAUAUUUUCUGAAAGUUAGUCUUGGAAAAAUGGAGAAUUCCAUAUUCCCAAGUUAUUUAAUUUUUAUUUUGAGUUACUUGUUUACACAAGGGUAACAUUAACUCAAGAUUUGAAUUGCCAUGUUUUGAAAGGGAUUGCAAAGAAUAUGGAAUGACAAUUGUUUUUAAAGAAAAAUUAAUAAUGGAAGAGUGCAAAAUAAGUGGAAAAGAAGUAAAGAGUGAGAACCCUUCCCUUUUAGGUUCCAUUGUUUUAGUAAGAGUAGGGUUUGCCAUCGGUAGCAAGAGUUCCUUCUCCUUAUGUUCCUCUUCUUUCUUCUUUUCUUCUUCUCUUUUCUUUCCCUCUUCUCUUCUCUUCGUCUCUCUUUUCUUUCUCUCUUCUUCUUCUAUUUCUCAUUUCUCUUCUUCUUCUCUCUCUUUUCUCUUUUAUCUCUCUUUUCUCUUCUUCUUCUCUCUCUCUCUUUCCUCUUUAUCUCUUCUUCCCUCCUCCUUUUGUCUCUCAAUAUCUAAUCUCUUAACUUUCAACUCUAGUGUCUCAACCUUUAACUCCUUAAGUUUAAUUUCAAAUUCUAAUUCUCUAAGAAGGACACCUUUGUCAUUUAAGCUUUCAAGAAAUGUUUUUCCAUCUUCAAUGUAAGCUCUUAGGGAUUGUAGGUUUCUCUUAAUGGUUGAAGGCACAAAUUCCUUUCUGAUGCAAUAUUUGAGUUCAUACCAAUCAUGGAUGGGGGAUUUUCUACCUAUCCUAACAUGAUACUGCCUUUCAUCCCACCACUCUCUUGCAUGCAUUUCAAAUCUAGAUGUGUNNNNNNNNNNNNNNNNNNNNNNNNNNNNNNNNNNNNNNNNNNNNNNNNNNNNNNNNNNNNNNNNNNNNNNNNNNNNNNNNNNNNNNNNNNNNNNNNNNNNNNNNNNNNNNNNNNNNNNNNNNNNNNNNNNNNNNNNNNNNNNNNNNNNNNNNNNNNNNNNNNNNNNNNNNNNNNNNNNNNNNNNNNNNNNNNNNNNNNNNNNNNNNNNNNNNNNNNNNNNNNNNNNNNNNNNNNNNNNNNNNNNNNNNNNNNNNNNNNNNNNNNNNNNNNNNNNNNNNNNNNNNNNNNNNNNNNNNNNNNNNNNNNNNNNNNNNNNNNNNNNNNNNNNNNNNNNNNNNNNNNNNNNNNNNNNNNNNNNNNNNNNNAAUAUCCUCUCCAAAGAAUGGAAUAUUUGCCCUAGCUUGUUUAUAUAACUCAUCCUCAAUCCUCUCAAAUUCAUAAAAUGAACAAGUUCUUCUUCUAGCUUCAUCAAGUUUGCUUUUAAUUUCUUUGAAAGUAAUUGGUUGAUGAAGACUAGAAGACCUAGAGUGUGGCUGCUGUAUCACAAAAUGCUGGUCCAAAAUGAUGAAAAUUUGCUGCUGAAAACUGGUUGCUGAAACAGUUUUGUACAACCAAGGGAGGUGCUCUCAAAGUCCCAACUUUUUCUUGCUUUAACAAUGUUUCCACUCCUUAGUAUGCUACCCCUUUUGGAGAAUCAAACUGGUUGCUAGAACUGCACCAAAACGUCACAGCAUCCUGCCACACACCAAACCAGUCACAAAAAAAAAUUUGCACUGCACCAGAAUUUAAAUUCGCAUACCAGGUUUGGUGGCACAAAUUAGAGGUCAAACAAGGUGAUUUCAAGUAGUUUUAAGCUUUGAACAUACUCAGAAUCUCCAAAUCAUUGGUCCAGUUGUGAUUUUCAAGCAAAAAUUGGAGCUGAAAUGGUUAUUUUUGCAGAUGUGAUGAAAAAUGGACCAAACAACAGUGGAAGCAAGGUUGCAUUAUCCAAUUGUAUAUGCACAAACCGUCAAACAGUACAGUAUCACAUAGAAUCAACAAUUGGUAGUGGCAGUUCCUAGAAAUGCAGAAAUUUCCACUAAAAUUGUUGUAGAAAUGAGAAAUAUAACAGAUUCAAUGUUAGUUGGAUCAAAGAUCAAACAAGAAAAGACUUAAGUAACUAGAUCUAGCUUGAAGAAUAUGAGCUAGGAGAAUUAAAAUUCCUAAAACACAUCAAAGAACUGAAGCACGGUGCAAAAGCCGCAAAAUAUGAUGACAGUUUGCUGAAAACAGAGAUUUGAUGAACUCGACUACUCUUUUUGUGAUUUAUUGAUGAAUUUUGAUUCUUAAUACUUGAAACAUGUAUAAAAGCAUCACAUAAACUUGUCUCAAGUAUUAAAACAUAUGAAUCUGGAAAAAAAGAAUGUACACAUGAUCAAACCAGAAUUGAGUUUUGAUGCAGAAUGUGCAAACGGAAACUCUCGGUCAAUGGUCUAAACUUCUAUGAUCAAAGCUAGGCAAUGCCUCAUUGCUUUAUGUGAUCCAAAUAGAGCUAGAAAAUGCAUUGAUCACAUGGAAAAACGAAAAAAAAAAAAACAUGCGCGAAACAGAUUCGAAAUUGUGAAAGAGUAAAAACUGCUAACAAAUGCAUAUGACUGAUGACAUAACUGGAAAAUUGAAGUUAAAAGUUGAAGGAACUGAAAACAAUUGAUAUGCACCGAUUAAAAUGUAGAAGACACACUAAGGAUCAGUGAAUGCAAACAAACAUUCACUCAAACAGAAAUAAAUCUGAAAAAAAAAUGAAACAGUGACAUUCAAGAACAGAACAACACGGAGAAGUGAAAAACGAAUUGCAAGAGUGACUUAGCUCGUGUAGAACCGCUUGGACGUGCUGGCUCUGACUACCAAAUGAUAGAAGUAGCUUCUAUCUUCAAGAAGAAAUGGCUUUUCGAUCGAGAGGUGGCAGCGGAAUUGGAUUUGCGGAUGAAAGUGGCUGAUGCACACCAGGUGUUUGUGAAAAUGCUUGGGCGAGUUUUGGAUAUGGUGUUGGUAGAAUUAUAGCUCAGGCAGCUUUCCUAAGGGGAAAUGAGUUAUAGGAUGCAAAGCUAAAGCUAGCAAAGUGUUUGAACUUGAGAGAAGUGGCUAAAUAUUGACAACAUAACAUUAAUUCCAUUUAAGUUAAGUUUACACAUGGUAGAGCUCUUCUUUUAUAGGAUGUAAGAGUUGAUGAACUGUGCAGCACAAGCUAUGCAAAGCUUAUUCUAAACGUGUUGCAACUAUUAGCUAUUGUGCAAAGUAUUUUACAUGUGGAGAGCAUUUAACACGUGCUAGAAUUGAAGAAGGUGGCUUGUGCAAGUUGGCUAAGCACAUGUUACAUCCGAAAGGCACCUUUCUUCAUGUUGCUUGCUNUCUUCAAUCCGUAANCCAUUUCAAAUCCAUCUUCCUUGGUCUCCUUUGCUCUNUCUUAGCUUGGCUAGCUUCUUGAGUUGUGUAGGCAUAGUUUCCUACUUUUAUUUGGUCACCUACAAAGCAAAGAAAAGUACUUAGUUUAAGUAGAGUCUAUCAAAGACUUAGAUAAGGAAAUAGUUUUGGAAAUCUAUAUUCUACUUCCCUUUCUUUAGUCUUAGCUUUAGUUGAUACUUCUUUGGAUGGUAAGUCCCUAAAGGGGUUGCCAUCAAUAUUGACAACAGAUUCCAAACAUGGAAUUUUCAAAAAAAUAAUAAUAAUAAACAAACACAAAAAACAAAAAAAAAUGUAGAAAGAAGAAAAAAUGAAGAAUGAGAGAGCGAGAACAAAUGAAAGGAAUGAAACAAAUGUUUAUGCACUCAUGCAUCCUCAUUCCAUUACAUCAUACAUAUCAAAAGAAGCGAGGAAAAUUUUUCAGAAAAUCCUCAUGUUGCUCAACAUUUACUAGCAUUUCAAAAAUUUGAACCAAGUUUUUCUUCUAUGAUAGUUAAUGAUCACUCUCAUUCACUCAUUCGCCCAUGGGGUUAUUACACCCUCCACGAGGUUGUUACACCUCAGUCUUUCAUCCGUAGGGUUGUUACACCCUCCACGAUGUUUGUACACCUCAUUUUUCUCAAGCACAACUUUGGUUUAGCAUUUUUAAGCCCAAUGUUAUCUGGCACCUUGAGUUUUGACCCUCUGCUUGGCAAUGGUCAUUUUUAGUUUUCUUCUGCAAUUAACCCUCUGCUUGGAAAUGGUAAUUUUUAGUUUUCUUCUGCGAUUGACCCUCUGCUUGACAAUGGUCAUUUUUUUUAGUCUUCUUCUACGAUUGACCCUCUACUCUGCUUGGCAAUGGUCAUUUUUUUAGUUUUCUUCUGCGAUUGACCCUCUGCUUGGCAAUGGUCAUUUUUUAGUUUUCUUCUACGAUCAGCCCUCUGCUUGGCAAUGGUCGUUUUGUUUUUUUGUUUUUGUUCUGUGAUUUCGGCCCUUAGCUUGGCGAUGGUCGAAUCCAGGUUUUCACUUUGUGCUAUCGGCCCUCUGCUUGGCAAUGGUCGUUUUUUUAGUUUUUGUUCUGUGAUUUCGGCCCUCUGCUUGGCAAUGGUCGAAUCCAGGUCUUCGCUUUGUGCAAUCGGCCCUCUGUUUGGCAAUGGUCGAAUCCAGGUUUUCGCUUUAUGCUAUCAGCCCUCUGCUAGGCAAUGAUCAUUUGGCAUCGUGACUUCAAUCAUUUUUGUUUGUUUUUCUUGCGUGUUUGAAACCUAGACGAAAUUAGUUUUUAUAUCUUUACUUAGCUUUACUUAAAUAAUACGAAAAUGUCAAAUUUUCAUAUUAUCCAGUAAAUCUAAGUAAAGAGGGGCAGCUGUCAACACCCAAUUUCGUCUGGGUGAUUAAAUAAUAGGACUUGUUUUUAUUUUUAUUUUAUUUUAGUUUUAUUAUAUUAUUUUUAAUUUUUAGUUUACCUUGAUUUAGUUUUUUCUAGGUUUAAUACCUAUUUUGGUCUCUCUUUUCGGGGGAUUUGUUCAAAGUGGUCCUCCCUUUUGUAAAAACUUCAUUAAAGUCCUACUUUUUGCAAAAACUGUGCAAGUUAGUCCUUUUUGCUAACAACGUUAAUUCUGCUAACGGAAAAACUACCAGUUGGCAAAUAUUUGAUGACUUUUACAAAUAAAAUUCGUUGUAGUCCUCAUAUUGGUUUAAAAAUAUUUAUUGUGGUCCUCAGUUUAAAAAUGUUUAUUGUGGUCCUCUUUUACUAAAAAAAAAAUCGCCGAACGAAAACCAAACAAAACAUCAAUUCCCCGAGGUGAGUUUCUGUCCGAGUGUCACUAAUCUAUUUGAUUUUUAGUGGUUACAAUAUCUGCGACUAGUAUCAUUAUUCAAUAUGAUUGCAUUAUCUGCUCAAGCAUUUCUAGCAUAAUCACAUUUCCAUCUCUGUUCAUAAGUACACCUUGCCCAGAAAAGCGAUAAAAAUUACUUAUUUGUUUCUCGUCUUCAAAAAUCAUUGAGCUCCGUUCAUCAACCUACACACAGAAUUUGUCAUAGAAAACAUAGCAUCAUCAUCGUUUUUUCACUCCCUCACUCUAUCUCAUACUACCCCAAAUUGAUUCACCCCUCACUCGAACCUCCAUCUCAACUCAAAUAUAACAUCAUCAGAAAUAUUCACACCCAGCCAAACAGAAUAGGUCGCCGGAGAAGACGGGUUGAUGAGGGUGGUGAGAGUGGUAGUGACUAGCAGCUUCGCCGGCGGUAACACGUUGCUCUUAUUGGGUCAGAGAGUUGACGCUGAAUAAUUCUAUUUGGAAGCAUUGAUUCAAAAUUAAAAGGGUGCAGUCACGACCAUCUGCAGGGUUAUUAGCAUGUUAUUUUUGGAUUUUCAUUUUAUCCUUUGAAGGGCCCACAUGGAGACCACUUUCUUAGCUUGAGAGGUGUUGAUUUCAUUCACUUUUAUUGAGCCACGGUGAUGCAACGUUGCUGCUCAAAGCUUAGUUUUAUUUUUAUUUUUUAUUUUACAGAAUGAUAAGUAUAUUAGGUGGACUCUAGGAGGAUGGGACAUCUCAAGAAGGUGGCAGCCGAGUAGAGAUAUUAGCUUUUGUUUCUUGUAGAAUGGAGAUGUGAUUGGAUGGGAGUAUUGAAUGUUGUACCGUGAUUGAGUUGAGAGAAGAAUCUUAGUUGUUUGCAUUGGUCCGUUGGGUGGUUGGAAAAGAAACAUUGCAAUUUCUUUUUAUUGAAUAAAGUUGUUGAAGGUGAUUUAAUUUAGGGGGUGCACGGUAUUGUCUAGAAGAAGGGUUUCCUUGCAUUUUCUUUUUCAAUUAAGAUCUUUGCAUUUUGCUUGAAGCCAUUUUGCUUGGAAUGAUGGGACGUUGUUGGUGGCUUAGGAUAUCUAGCUUUCACUUUUAUUUAUUAGAUGAAUGAGAAAUGAUUUGGUGGGGUAGGGUUAUUAAAUGCCCUGGAACUUUCAAUUCUUCCUUUCCUUUUGGAGAUGGGACAAUGGUGUUGAUUUUAUUUAGUUUUCAUUGGAUUUCCAAUUGCAAUUGAGAAAGAAGGAUGUUUGAUGAAGGUUGAAAAACAGUUAUUUUCAUAUGUCAUUUUAGACCAAAUUACUCCCUUUACUGCUUGGAAUGAGCUUAGAAUCAAGCAAAACUCAAUAAAUGAGUCUGUAGAGAGUCAAAAGCUGUUUUUAGCGAUAUUAUGCUUGUUUUGCAUUGUUUUGCAGUGUUUUUGAUGAAAGUGAAGAAUGAGGUUGUAGAUGAAGGUCUUAGACUCAAGAAAGAAGAAGAAACAUGAAGAAAAGAAGAGUCUAGGAACCACCCAACGGUAAAAUUAACCGCUGGGCGGCCAAAUGCGAGGAGAAGGCACUGUCUGACACCCAGGCGUGCACGCUGGGCGGAUUUGCGUUUAGAGGCAAACCACCGGGCGGUGGUGCGAUUAUGGGCAAACCGUCGGGCGGCAUAAAUGUGACGCCGGGCAGUUCUCUGCUGGGCUUGGACCUGUUUUAUUUUAUUUUUAUGAUCUGUUUGGGCUUGGGCUUGUUUUAUGUUAUUUUUAUGCCCUAUUUAAAGGCCAGAACGUCUUAGGGUUUGUAUCUUUUGAUGGCUUAGGCACAAAAACACAUUUUUCACCCCUUUGGGGUAGAUUUGGAGAUGGUGACAACUCUCCUUUUCUCCUUUUUAGGGUUUGUAUCUCUUUCAUUCCAUUCUUCACCUAGUUCCUCCAUGACAACGGGGAACUAAUCUUAUUUGUUGCAGGGAAAACAAUGUAAUCUUUUGAUACUCUCUUUUAUUGAAACUCUUGUUUAUUUAUAUGAUUUUCAUAUGCGUUGAUUAUUAAUUGUUGGGUUCUCAUCUGUGCUUAAUGCUUUUACUGUUUAAUUCAUUCGAUAACUGUUGUUUGUCUUUAUUGAUACGGGGACGUACAGUAAUGUCAUGAACUGGUGAGUGAUUCCAUGAUUAAGCAAUACCACCUAGGGAUAGGGGUAGGACGAUCAAUUGUUUUUCACUUUUGCUCUAUAAUGCAUUAUUAAUUACUAGGGGAGGGUAGGGAUAGCAAGCCAGUAAUUAGUAAUAGGCUCUUUUCGCCGAGGGAUCGGGUUAAGGGUAGGCUGAUGAGCUGUCGCAACUCACACAAAUUUGAUGUGCAAAUAAAUGCAGUAUAGCUAGGGAAUGACCCCUAGGUCGUCUCCCAAAGACCAAUUUUGCAGUUCAAGAAUCGAGUCGAACAUGAAAAGGGGGGUUUGUGAAAAUAGUUUUGCAAAAAUUAAAGAAGUCAAUGAAGACACAGAUGCAAACAAACUAAAUUAAGCUAGCAUGGUAAUUAAACUAACACUAUUAAAAACCUUAGACAACAUUCAAACAAAAUAAAAUAAAAUACUAGACCCCAACAAGACAACAAACAACUACCUAACACAGUUAAAUUAAUUUAAAUGCAAAACUAAAUUAAAGAGAUGUAAAACAGCUAAACAUAUUAUGUGAACUUAAUUUAAACAAAACAGAUAACAACAUAUAUUAUUUUUUUUUCAAUCACGUGACCAAGUGGUCUUUCUCCAAGGAAGCAAAUUAAAGAAACCUUUUGAACAUGGCUAGGCACCUUGUUACCGUGCUGCACCAAUUCAACCUCGAAAAAGAAAUUCAAUUCUCCCAAACGUUGUUGUAGCUUUGCCGUAACUCUUUCAUCAAUUGUCAAUUAAAUGGCCUUGUGACUUGGUUCCAGCGGGCUUUUCAAAGGAAAAGAAACACAAUUGACCAUGUGCUUCCAACUCAAUGGGACCCUUGCCUAUUUUCAGCUGCACCCAACAUCCCAUCAAAGAGAUAGCCCCCCCUUCCUAGCAAUGUUGUAAACCGUGAGCCAAUAUUUUUCCUAGCAUAAAAAAUUUUCUCCUAAGCUGCACGUGGCAGCUGCCACCAAUUCUAAGCUUCAAAAUGAGAUUAAAUUCUUUUCUUCCAAGACGUGGCAGUAGCCUCUUCUAAUGAAACAAUUGCUUUGCUUGAGUCAAACAUAAAGCAUUAAAUGAACACCAAUCAAAGCUAGAGUAACUCUUCCAUCAAAUCAACUCUUCACUUCUUAAAAUUAAUUGGAACCACAAGCAUCUAAUCACCAACUAAUCUCCUCUUUAAUAUUCGGACAACUCCAUUCCCUAAGACAUCGUGUUCUUAUUGAAUGAAAUAACAAUUAAAUGAUAGAACUUUCUUUCAUCAUUCAGCAACAUCCCAUCACCUCAAGCUAAUCCCCUCUACACUCAUUCAAAGUAAAAGAAAAUAAAUGUGCGUUGCAGCAGCCGUGACACAAGGGUUUAAGAAUCACUAAGACACCAACUUUCCAUAUUAAAAACAAUCGUUCCUUGCUUCAUGUGGCCCACGGCAACAGUUGUGACACCAGACACUCUCACAUAGUCACCUCUCCAACAUUCAAUCACCAGAAAAGCAAAGUUUUUUAUCAAUUAAAGUGGCAUAGCGUUUCAUCCUUUUUCCAUCAAACAAAACACGCUCAAGAAAUAAAAACCCAAGGGGAUGUGGCAGCUAUGAAUCAACCCCUCUUCAAACUAAAAAGGAAAGAAACCAGCAUCAAGUGUAUCCUCUUCUCCAUCUGGAAAAACGUUCCAGCCUUGCACCAUUCCCGCUCUCUGAGCUCUCGGUCAAAUGAGAUUACGAGAAAAAAAAAUAAAGUUAAGCACUAGCACUCCAAAAUAAAUUAAAGGGCAGAGAAAAAAAAUGGAAUUUCUUCAUUCAACCAUAAAAGCUAAAACCAUAAGUUCCAUUCUAUUCUCCAGAGAGCGUAACAGCAAAGCCAAAAAUGUGCAGAGUAUGUGACGGCUGCUUCUUGAUAAUCCCUAGGUCAGAGAAUUUUUUUUCAAAUGGUGGGGUCCACUUCUAAAGGAAAACCUAGGGCCAUGUCACCAGUUUUCUAUUGGGCUUAGUCUAUUCUAACAAAAUUAGCCCACAAUACAAAAAUUAGUUUAAAAAGCCUAAUCUACUAAAUUAAAAAUUGACUAAUCCUAAAGUGUCUUUGUGGAGAGUCUUCACUUAAUUGGUGCCCUUCCAAAAGUCUCANNNNNNNNNNNNNNNNNNNNNNNNNNNNNNNNNNNNNNNNNNNNNNNNNNNNNNNNNNNNNNNNNNNNNNNNNNNNNNNNNNNNNAGGAAUAAUUAAGCUCAAUUAAUUCAAAUUAAUUAAAAUCAGAAUUAUUGGUCUAAUUAAGCCCAAAUGGUGAAAAUGACACAAUAACUAAGAAUUAAGCGCAAAUCAUCAACACAGUUAGGCGAGAAAAACUAAGUUAAUGGUAUAAAAUAUUGAUUAAUCAAAAUAGACCACACUUAGUCUUUUGCACUCCUGGGCAAAAUCAAGAUGCAAAACAGGAAACAGUACCGAGGUCAUCUGGAAGGUGAUACAGACUCGACAACCAGACAACAAAGACUCACAAAACAGAAAUAGAGUUGCACAAUUCUCACAAAAUCUGGACAGCGAAAGGCAUAGGCAGAAUCCCCACACAAAGUCAAUGAAAGCAGAUACUCACAGAAUCAUCCAAACAGUUCAGUACAUGGAAAACAGUCAAUCAACUCAAGAGAUGAAUCAAAAGCAACAGAGUCUCACAGAUGCACACAAACGGUGUUUCUCUCAAGUGUUUAAGAUAAAUCAAUGUCACUCGAUGCACUCAAGAAAGCAAACACAAAUAGACUUGGCAAGCCUCUAAUAUCAACACUCAAGCACACAUGCAUGUUCAAAUCAAAAGGUCUUUUCAUGGUUGUAAUGGGGCCAAGAACAAGGGAGGAUACAUCUGGAUAAGAAGCUACAAACCAAAAGGAAUAGAGGAGCAAUGGGAAACAAGUGUAAACACAUUCAAACACACCCAUAACCUCGAAUUCCAUCCUCUUCUUUACUCCAUUAUUCACAAUUUUUUUUUUCUUUCUCCUUUUUUUUUAAUCAACACACAAUUCAAAAGACAAGAUACAUGAUAUUUACAGUGCAACCGCAAGAAGAGGACUCACUAGCCAAUUCAUCUGCAACUCCUAAGAGACCACACUUAUUCCCAAAACAAUUCCAAAACUCCAAAAUUCCUAAGGUUCAGGUGAUCAUGGUUUUUCACUUAGGCUAUUGUAUGAGCUUGAAAACAAAGAAAUUGGGGAAUUAUAGGCUCAAGGAGGCUAACAAAGAGAUCAUAACAGGGUAGGCUAUCUGGCUAGAGAGGCUCAAUCAACAAAAUGCCUUUAUCAUUUUCAAACAUGCUCAUGAAUCAAGAAUUAUCAACAGAGUCAAGCCAAGGCAAAUGUGCAAGCAAUCCAGAGGCAUAUCACACACAAGAAAGAUCAUCAAAUGGCUCAAAUCUCACACAGGUAAUUGGUCACAAUUAAUCCAAAUCUCAAACAUCAUGAUUAUCUUCCAAGCAAAGAAGAGCAAGGAGUCCAACAAAACAGAGUAUCAAUGUAGUGAAGGGAAACUAGCAACCUAAUCACAGUCCAGAAUUUACAAAAAGCAUGCAAAACUGUACACAAGACUCAACAAAAUUCACUAGAAAACGAAAUCUAAACAAAGAACAACCUCCCCUAAUAGACCACACUUAAACGACACAAUGUCCUCGUGUGUCACAAUCAGCAGAUCAACAAUUAGCACAGUCAGCAGAUAUAGACAAGGUGCAAUAAAAGUGAGGAGGGAAGGAGAAAAGAAACUCCCUGAGUCAGAUGGGAGGGUAGGUGGGGUGGACCAAAGACACCUCCUCCACCACUGCAUCCAGCAAAGAAGGAUUGCUGAGGAAAGGCUUCAGUCUAUGCCCGUUCACCUUGAAGCUUUUAGCUACAGAUGGACCAUGGAUCUCUACUGCACCAUAAGGAUAAACAUUAGUGAUGGAAAUCCAUUUAGGGCAUUCCACUCAAAGAAGUAGCAACUCAAGCUAAGACUAAGAAAGGGAAGUUAAAGAAGGACUUUCUAACACUUUCUUGACUUCUUUUCUCUAAAGUCUUAGAAGGAUUAACUAAAACAUAUUUACUUUGUUUUGUAGGGUCUAAAUAGAGCUUGGAGACUAUAUGUGAGCCAUCCAAGAAGUAGGAGCAAAGGAAGGAGUACCAUCCAAUAAGAGGAAGCCCAAAGAAGGAUUGCUGCCAGGAGGCGCUCAGCUGCACAGUUAGUACAGCCCAGCGCUGACGUUACAGCAUGUUCCACGUGAAGCAAGCUGACCUGGAGGAGGUGUGAUCCGUGCUUGCUUGAUUUGGCAUAGACACAAUUGUUUGAAUUUUGGGAGGGAAUUGGAUCAGAUUUGAGUCCCCUCUUCACCUAUAAAUAAGAGGGUCUCCUCCUUUGUAAAAUCACUUUUGAGCUAUAGUGAAAUGCUGCAGAAUUCUAAUUCCAGCCCUAUUUGCUCUUGAGUCACUUCUUCUCUUUACUUUCUCUACCCUUCCUCUAGCUUCCUUCCAUCAUAGGAGGGCCUU